This 225-nucleotide unclassified non-coding RNA is filed under the name plant metagenome. RNAcentral describes it as "partial contains small subunit ribosomal RNA, internal transcribed spacer 1, and 5.8S ribosomal RNA". The record is from RNAcentral.
UCUCCGUUGGUGAACCAGCGGAGGGAUCAUUACAGGACUCGCAAGACUCCUACACCCCUGUGAACUUAACUAUAAGCACGUUGCUUCGGCGGGUGUCUCGGAGGGGGUUCUCCCCCACCGGGACGCUAACCCCGCCGGCAGCCUACUAUACUCUGUCGCUUUGCUUUGGCAUCUCGAGUACAAUCAAACAAGUUAAAACUUUCAACAACGGAUCUCUUGGUUCUG